RNAcentral lists this ribosomal RNA (404 nucleotides) under uncultured prokaryote. Its description in RNAcentral is "bacterial SSU rRNA". It matches the Rfam family "Bacterial small subunit ribosomal RNA", at positions 355 to 776 of the family's 1533-position model. RNAcentral also lists the same sequence under 1 other name. The record is from RNAcentral.
UGGGGAAUAUUGGGCAAUGGGGGGAACCCUGACCCAGCAACGCCGCGUGAAGGAAGAAGGUUUUCGGAUCGUAAACUUCUAUCCCGGGUGAAGAUAAUGACGGUAGCCCGGAAGGAAGCCCCGGCUAACUACGUGCCAGCAGCCGCGGUAAUACGUAGGGGGCAAGCGUUGUCCGGAAUGAUUGGGCGUAAAGGGCGCGUAGGCGGACGACUAAGUCUGGAGUGAAAGUCCUUCUUUUAAGGAGGGAAUUGCUUUGGAAACUGGCUGGCUUGAGUGCAGGAGAGGUUAGUGGAAUUCCCGGUGUAGCGGUGAAAUGCGUAGAGAUCGGGAGGAACACCAGUGGCGAAGGCGGGUAACUGGACUGCAACUGACGCUGAGGCGCGAAAGUGUGGGGAGCAAACAGG